Molecule: transfer RNA, 73 nt
Filed under: Neodangemannia microcystis
Lineage: Eukaryota; Viridiplantae; Chlorophyta; Ulvophyceae; Oltmannsiellopsidales; Oltmannsiellopsidaceae
Description: tRNA-Thr
Rfam family: tRNA
About the family: Transfer RNA (tRNA) molecules are approximately 80 nucleotides in length. Their secondary structure includes four short double-helical elements and three loops (D, anti-codon, and T loops).
Source: RNAcentral
GCCUGCUUAGCUCAGUUGGUAGAGCUUCGGUCUUGUAAACCGAAGGUCAUCGGUUCGACUCCGAUAGCUGGCU